RNAcentral lists this ribosomal RNA (116 nucleotides) under uncultured eukaryote. RNAcentral's name for it is "partial small subunit ribosomal RNA". It matches the Rfam family "Bacterial small subunit ribosomal RNA", at positions 1410 to 1525 of the family's 1533-position model. The record is from RNAcentral.
GUCGGCUGCUCCAGAAGUAGGAACUCCAACCGCAAGGAAGAGCCCUACCAAGGAGCGGUCGGUGACUGGGGUGAAGUCGUAACAAGGUAGCCGUAGGUGAACCUGCAGAAGGAUCA